UAUAAGCACUUUAUACUGUGAAACUGCGAAUGGCUCAUUAAAUCAGUUAUCGUUUAUUUGAUAGUACCUUACUACAUGGAUACCUGUGGUAAUUCUAGAGCUAAUACAUGCUGAAAACCCCAACUUCGGAAGGGGUGUAUUUAUUAGAUAAAAAACCAAUGCCCUCCGGGGCUCCUUGGUGAAUCAUAAUAACUUAACGAAUCGCAUGGCCUUGCGCCGGCGAUGGUUCAUUCAAAUUUCUGCCCUAUCAACUUUCGAUGGUAGGAUAGUGGCCUACCAUGGUGGCAACGGGUAACGGGGAAUUAGGGUUCGAUUCCGGAGAGGGAGCCUGAGAAACGGCUACCACAUCCAAGGAAGGCAGCAGGCGCGCAAAUUACCCAAUCCCGACACGGGGAGGUAGUGACAAUAAAUACUGAUACGGGGCUCUUUUGGGUCUCGUAAUUGGAAUGAGUACAAUCUAAAUCCCUUAACGAGGAACAAUUGGAGGGCAAGUCUGGGCCACA
RNAcentral lists this ribosomal RNA (503 nucleotides) under Aspergillus sp. N35. RNAcentral describes it as "SSU rRNA". It matches the Rfam family "Eukaryotic small subunit ribosomal RNA", at positions 64 to 572 of the family's 1831-position model. The record is from RNAcentral. Lineage: Eukaryota; Fungi; Ascomycota; Eurotiomycetes; Eurotiales; Aspergillaceae.